This 590-nucleotide long non-coding RNA is filed under the name Triticum aestivum (bread wheat). Its description in RNAcentral is "long non-coding RNA (TAES_LNC019162)". The record is from RNAcentral. Lineage: Eukaryota; Viridiplantae; Streptophyta; Magnoliopsida; Poales; Poaceae.
AAAACUAUAAAGACACAUGCACCACCAAGGCCACCUUCCAUCAUCCAAACUUCACACACCUAGACCACAAGCAUCAAAGGCAAGCAAGCAGUAGUAACCACAAAUCCAAGAUGAAGACCUUCCUCAUCUUUGUCCUCCUUGCCAUGGCGAUGAAGAUCGCCACUGCCGCUAGGGAGUUAAACCCUAGCAACAAAGAGUUACAAUCACCUCAACAAUCAUUUUCCCAUCAACAACAACCAUUUCCACAGCAGCCAUAUCCACAACAACCAUAUCCAUCACAGCAACCAUAUCCAUCGCAACAACCAUUUCCCACACCCCAACAACAAUUUCCCCAGCAAUCACAACAACCAUUUACCCAGCCCCAACAACCGACCCCCUUACAACCACAACAACCAUUCCCCCAGCAACCCCAACAACCACAACAACCUUUUCCACAACCCCAACAACCAUUUCCCUGGCAACCACAACAACCAUUUCCCCAGACCCAACAAUCGUUCCCUCUCCAACCACAACAGCCAUUCCCCCAGCAACCCCAACAACCAUUUCCCCAGCCCCAACUACCAUUCCCCCAGCAAUCAGAACAAANNNNN